GCGCGCUUAGCUCAGCGGUAGAGCACCAGUAUCACACACUGGGGGUCGUAGGUUCAAAUCCUGCAGCGCGCACCA
Molecule: transfer RNA, 75 nt
Filed under: Limisphaerales bacterium
Lineage: Bacteria; Pseudomonadati; Verrucomicrobiota; Verrucomicrobiia; Limisphaerales
Description: Verrucomicrobia subdivision 3 bacterium (hot springs metagenome) tRNA-Val
Rfam family: tRNA
About the family: Transfer RNA (tRNA) molecules are approximately 80 nucleotides in length. Their secondary structure includes four short double-helical elements and three loops (D, anti-codon, and T loops).
Source: RNAcentral